RNAcentral lists this transfer RNA (68 nucleotides) under Cimbex luteus. Its description in RNAcentral is "tRNA-His". The record is from RNAcentral. Lineage: Eukaryota; Metazoa; Arthropoda; Insecta; Hymenoptera; Cimbicidae.
ACUUAAAUAGUUUAAUUUAAAACAUUGAUUUGUGGUGUCAAAAAAAUAUUUUAUAAGUAUUUUAAGUU